CCAUCCCUUUUGCUCUGCCCUCUCAAAUGCUAAAAAUCCAGCUAUCAUUGUUGGAGCUGGAAUCUUUGAGCGGAAGGACAAGGAUGCAAUUUUCUCAACAGUUGAUGCCAUUUCCAAAAAUGCAAAUGCUGUUAGGCCUGAUUGGAACGGGCUUAAUGUGUUGCUACUUAAUGCUGCACAAGCUGCGGCUCUGGACCUUGGACUUGUACCAGAAUCUGACGGAAGCAUUGAAUCUGCCAAAUUUCUCUAUUUGAUGGGUGCUGAUGAUGUGAACUUGGAGAAAGUUUUGGAUGAUGCCUUUGUCGUUUACGAAGGUCACCAUGGUGAUCGGGGUGUGUAUCGUGCCAAUAUAAUUCUUCCUUCAUCAGCUUUCUCUAAGAAAGAAGGGACCUUUGCAAAUACAGAAGGAUGUGCUCAAACAACUGUACUAGCAGUCCCCACAGUGGGUGAUGCCAGGGAUGNNNNNNNNNNNNNNNNNNNNNNNNNNNNNNNNNNNNNNNNNNNNNNNNNNNNNNNNNNNNNNNNNNNNNNNNNNNNNNNNNNNNNNNNNNNNNNNNNNNNNNNNNNNNNNNNNNNNNNNNNNNNNNNNNNNNNNNNNNNNNNNNNNNNNNNNNNNNNNNNNNNNNNNNNNNNNNNNNNNNNNNNNNNNNNNNNNNNNNNNNNNNNNNNNNNNNNNNNNNNNNNNNNNNNNNNNNNNNNNNNNNNNNNNNNNNNNNNNNNNNNNNNNNNNNNNNNNNNNNNNNNNNNNNNNNNNNNNNNNNNNNNNNNNNNNNNNNNNNNNNNNNNNNNNNNNNNNNNNNNNNNNNNNNNNNNNNNNNNNNNNNNNNNNNNNNNNNNNNNNNNNNNNNNNNNNNNNNNNNNNNNNNNNNNNNNNNNNNNNNNNNNNNNNNNNNNNNNNNNNNNNNNNNNNNNNNNNNNNNNNNNNNNNNNNNNNNNNNNNNNNNNNNNNNNNNNNNNNNNNNNNNNNNNNNNNNNNNNNNNNNNNNNNNNNNNNNNNNNNNNNNNNNNNNNNNNNNNNNNNNNNNNNNNNNNNNNNNNNNNNNNNNNNNNNNNNNNNNNNNNNNNNNAGUUUAUUUAUGGUGUGUACCUUUUUGUAACUUAACCAGUACUUAGCUGUUGUGACUUCAACAGUUGCAGUGGUAUUUGUUUAUAUUGUCGAUUCCAUACGAGUUUUUGACUUUUGAACUUCGCUAUUAUUACUUGAAGCCUCAAAAAAAUCUUAUACCAUUGUUAACGUACAUAUAUAUGAGUUCGCUCAUGGGAAACAACUAAACAUAUCAAAAAAGGAAUGACUAGCUCUGUUUUGGGGACUGCUGUGUUCUGGCCAAGUAGCGUGAUAGUUAUAACACAGAUAUCCAUCCUAACACUUGAGAGUAUACCUAGGGGAAAAACAGAAUUGGCGCAAUUCCAUCCCCAUCUCCACCUUCUAUGAGUGCCUAGAGCACAAACUCAAUCAACCAAUAAGAAAUUGGAAACUUGUGGUCACUUGUUUUAAUCUACUUGCACUUAAAUAACAACAGAAGCAGACUAUGCUUAAUCAUUGACUCUGGCAUCAAUAGUUGAAAUAAUUUGAAAUCGUCGUUGACUCAUUACAGUAGUUGCUGGAGAUACAAGCCCACCACUGUGUACUACCAGGUCUGAAUCCAUUCUUCAAGAUCCUAUAUUUGCAAGAAUCAAAUCGUAUAGUAGAUGCAACUAUAAUACGCAAGCAAUAGGUCUUGGAGAAAUUAUUGCUUAAAUGAAAUGUACUCAAAAAUUUAUGCAGUAAAAUUCGGAUUAAAGUAUUGCAGAAGAAUCAAAAUGGUUAUCACGGAAUGCAAGCUCACAAUCUAGUGAUCCUGUGUAAAAGUUGGUGUCAGUUCAAAGAUAGGUGUAAAUAAAUGAGUAUUUUGCAGAGCUACAUAUUCAACAGAGAAACCAAAAUUUGCAAGGCUCGACAGGUUUAUGAAACUUCUAAGAAAGUUAUUAUUGGGAAGACAAAGCUAUAACCUCACAUUGGGAGUUCUGUAAUACAAAACCAUCUGAUUGAUCACAGCACUUGAUAUUUGAAGAGUUUCGCGACAGAUAGUAAAUAGUGCAAGCUUAUGGCCUUUAUCGAGAACCAUUAAAUUUCAGGCCUUACUCAUUUCCCACGAGUAAUUUUGCAAAUUGUUUUGUAUGCUUGAACCUAGACAAGAAGAUCUUAUUGUGCAUCAUAUUGAUUUUGGAAUUUCAGUACAAUUGUAAAGCACAAGGCCAAAUCCAAUAGGUCAAGAUACAAAACAAUUCCAAUGACAAACUUUGUUAAGAUUUACGAUUUUGAUCGUAACCAUAAUAUACCUUUGAUUCAAUAUGCAAUGUUAUAUGAUGCCUCAAAUUGAUGCAGUUGUUCAAGUCUAUGACGUGAAAAGUUUCCAAAUUAGAUCCUCAGUUUCUAAAGAUAAGAGCAAAAACAGUGAGAAAAUAAUAUGACAGAAGAACCCUAUAUGGUCCAUUGGUCCCAAGAGGAAAAAGGAAAAGAAAAUCAAUAAAAGAACAGUACAUAAACAUAAAACCCAAUUCCCAGAUUUGUAGAAAACACAUAUAUUGAGUACAAAAUAACCAUCUUGCCAAGAAAUGUCAACUCUUACACACAAAUAACAGGACAGAAAAUAAUUAAAUCAUCCGCAUAGGCAAAAUUGGAACCCAAUCAAAAAGAUUAUGCAGGAGCAAGAACUACUCAAACAAGAUUCAUGAUUAGUGUUAUUCAGGGCAUAUACAUACAACUUUAAACAAAUUCAGAGAGAAAGAGAGACCUUGGAAAGAAGGGAGUAAGGCUGCUUCAAAGAGUGUAGUUGACGAGACGAGCUUAUUGUCCAAUGAUAGAGACAAAACAAUCAUUACUUUGUCAAAAUAUUUCCAGUGCAGGCCCGAUCUUUUCAGAUGGGAAAAUUACAGAGACGUAUUUAAAAAGGAUAUUUUUAUAAAAGGUGGGAUGUAAAACUUUUUGAGGCCUAACUUAUGAUAAAAAUGUUUUUGAGGUCUUUUUAGGUUAAAAUGUUCAAAUUAUCCUUGUCAGAUUAUUGAAAUAUCCCAAAUGCCCUUAGUAUAUAAUGACUAUAAUACCCAUUUUUCAAAUAAAAAUUAUACCCUUUAGUUUCAUCUGUUAUUUUAUGGAAUUUCAAAUUUCUCCCCCUCUUCUUUUUUAAUUUAUCUAUAAUCUUCUACUUCUUCUUUAUCCUUUCAAUCUAGUUUUACUUGAAGUAUAAAGAAGAACAUCAAAGAAGAAAUCCUUGCAUUUAUACAUUUUAUAUUGGUAAGAUAUUAUUUUAACUUUUAAUGUUUUGUGAAUCUUUUUUUUUUUAAAUACUAUUUUUACAUAUAUUCAUUGUCAUUUGAUAGUCGCGCUAUCAAUAAGAUCACUGUUACGUCCCUAUCUGAAACACUUCAGAAAGCCUACCACCGCGUCGUACGAGGUGUACAACACCCAUCCGAAAUGGUUCCAAAGUGGAGCCACCAUCUGCUAACACUGCAAGAAGACGUCUCACACCGUCAAAUGCGUACACGUGUCCCACAUCCAACGAUUCUCCUCAUCUAUAAAUACCCAAAGUUUGACAAGAGACAAAGGUAAUGAAACUCUUACAACAUAACUUUCCAUAAGAAGCAAAUAUAUAUUCUGAUCCUCUUUAUUUAGCACAACCUUGGUAUUGUUCUGACCACCUGAGGCUAACUUGACCGUCGGAGUGUAUGCGGCUACCACCACCCUCGUUGGUUCUGGCCGUGUGUAUCUGACCGUGCGUUGACUAUGCGCAGGGAGGAAUACGUGGAGUAGCUAUCGGUUGACAACGUAGAGGGUCCAAUUUGCGAGGCCAACAGAUUGACACCGUCUGUGAAAAACUUCUCGUUCAAAGUUCUGCAUUCUCUAUCGGAGAAACCACCGGAAAACCAGUGACUUACCCUGAAAAGGGCACGUUCUUGAAAAAGAACAAAGUUGUGUUAUAAUCCAAAUUCUCAUCACCCUUGAAAAAGGACAUAAGAUGAGUUACAGCCAUGAAGACGAGAACCCUAUGAGAGAGGCCUCUAAGGAAGAGGUGCUCCGUAACAAUGUCACUCACCAGAGACCCCAUCAUCGGCAUCGUCAAGGUGAAAGAACAGCUAUGCUCACUGAAGGAAUGACCCAAAUAGUUGCGGGCAUGAGAGACAUCGCAGCCCAGAAUAUGGCGAUGCAUGAACUUCUUGUGCAAGCCUGAGGUCACCAGGGCUCUCAAAUGCCCCAAGGAUCUUAUCCAGUUCAGGAAGCCCUAGUAUCUCGUUCCCGAGGCCAUGUGAGCUAGCACAGAGAGCGCCCCCUCGAAAGAGAAGUGGAUGCUGAAGCUGCAUCCUAUGUAUAAGGGAGCCAGCCACCAGAACCAUAAUUGGGGGACAAUUUCCCUCAAGAAUAUGAAGCACAAAUGUCAGUCAGCGUCUUUGACCGAAUAGGGCAGGACCCUAGCAAUAGGGUCCACUCAGUGCGAAGAUCAGUUCGGCAAGAACAGGAGUAAGAACAAGCACCUCCUCCUCCUAGAAAUAGGAAGGAAAGAAUGGACUUAGUUGAUUGGGGGAGUCGAGGAGAAGGACCUCCACCUCUCCAGAACAUUCAAGAUGAUGAAGGGUCAAAUAGGCCUUGUCGAUCCUUUGAAAUUGACGACGAUGAUGAUAACCUCCCUUUCUCAAGGGAAAUCCGAAGUUUCCCAAUGCCUGCGAAUCUCAUGUCCCCUAAGAUCCCCAAGUACGAAGGAAAGGGGGAUUCGGAGAAGCACCUCAUUAAUCAAAUGACGGAGAUGAGCCUCAGGGGAGCCUCGCUUACUUUGAAGUGCAGAGCCUUCCACUUAACUUUAAGCGGAGCUGCUGAAGUAUGGUAUAGCAGACUUCCCCCAGAGCAUUAGGAGCUGGCCGGAUCUGAAGAAGUCAUUCUUGAACCAGUACCUCUCACGCAGAGAAGAAGAGGCCCCGGCGCAACGCCUGCAAGAUAUGAGGCAGGCUUCUGGAGAGACGUUGAAAAGCUAUUUCACCAGGUUUACAGACGAAAUCACGUAUUGCGAGCAUAUCACUGACAUAGAAGCCCUUUCAGCCUUGAAAGGUGGCCUCAACAUGAACACUUUGUUCUGGAGGGAUGUGCGCAGUAAAAAUCCCACCACUUAAGACGAGUUGGUAGAAAUGAUGAGAGUUGAGAUCGUCAGUGAAAAGAUGAUUGAUCACAGAAACUGUACAGCACAGGGACUCCCUCUGCCUCAGAGGUAGGUAGGUCGAAGACCCGCAGCACACCUUAUCACUCAGCAAUGGACUCAAGCAGGUCAUACAAUAGCUCCCACCUUCGGACAGGCACUGGCUUCUGCCACGUUAAAUGCAGUCCCGGUGUUGGCAUACGAGAAUUUUCCUAGCGGAGCAGGGCCAUCUGGAGGAACCGAUAAUAGUAAGUAGAAGAAGAAGAAACGGUUAAAUAAGCCCUUGGAAGGGGCAAGGUUUUGCACUUUCCACCAACUCUAUGGGCAUAACACCAGCGAGCGCAGAGACGCUAAUCGACGCCCGGAUUGAAGCAACCCACAUCCCUCCAGGAGGGACGAAUAUCCUCGCAGAUCGGCCUUCCUGAACAGGGGAGAGAAAAGGCAUAGAGAGUAGUCACCCGAAGAAGAAAAUCAAGGGACCGAGGACAGUCCAGACAGAGAGAUCAGGCCCCAUUUUCUAGGAGCCAAAUCAUUAGGGAGAUCGACACAAUUAUUGGGGGACCUCACAUCGGUGGCAACACCAGGAACGUCCAAAGAAAUUACACAAGGGAAGCAAAGGACCUGCCAAUGCUUACCUACACUGUCAAGGAGUCCCAAGUGGCCAAUAGGAUGGCCCCGAUCACCUUAUCCGAGGAAGAUGCACAAGGAGCUCACCACCCUUAUUGUGACGCAUUGGUUGUGAGAGCCGUAGUGGCAAGAAACGAGCUCAAAAACAUUCUCGUCGACAAUGGCAGUUCGAUGAAUAUACUAUUCGGCUCCAUCUUCGACAAAAUGCAAGUUGAACAUGGGUUGAUUCCCAUGAUGGAUUCACUGUUCGGAUUUACUGGAGACAGCAUCGUCCCACGAGGGCGGAUAACUCUGCCCAUCGAGAUAGGUUCAGCUCCUCUAGUGGCCCAACACUUUAUGGAGUUCUUGAUGGUCAACCACAGAUCGGCCUAUCAUGGAGUAUUGGGAAGACCCGCUUUGAAAGAUCUUUAGGCUGUCACCUUCAUCCACUACUUGUGUAUGAAAUUUCCAACUAAACAUGGGAUUGCCACGGUUUGAGGCAACCAGAUGGGCUCGAGGACAUGUUACUUAAACUCUCUACGAAAAUCGGGGCCCCGAACUGUUAAUGCGAUCAUAACUGAAGUUGUCAGUGAACCUAAUUUGGACAUGAAAAUGAUCGAUGCCCCUGAACAAGGGCAUACUUCCGAACAGGAGGAAGACAUCGACAUGGAAGAAGCCCCUGAGGAAGGGCACGCUCUUGAUGAAUUAGAUCGCCGGAUCAUUGACUCCGAGCCAAAUGCAACCCCAGUGGAAGAACUUGAAACCUUUGUCGCCAACCCAGAGGACCCCAGUCAGGUCCUGCGAAUAGGAAAGGCGCUGUUCCCCGAAGCAAAAGAAAAAAUGGUGAACUUUCUGAAAAGGAACUUGGAUGUCUUCGCUUGGCAGCAUGAAGACAUGGUAGGAAUAGAUCCAAGGAUUAGUUGCCAUCAUUUUAACAUCAACUCCUCCUGUGCCCCACAUAAACAGAAAGACAUGCCCUCAACUCUGAGCGGUAUGAGGCACUCAAAGACGAAGUGGACAAACUUAGUCGUAGCGGCUUCAUCAAAGAAGCCAUCUACCCCAAGUGGAUAUCCAACCUGGUUCUGGUGAAGAAGACCAGCGAAAAGUGGAGGAUAUGCGUAAACUUCACAAACUUAAAUAAGGCAUGCCCUAAAGACAGCUUCCCCCUUCCAAGGAUAGACCAAUUUGUGGAUUCCACCGCCGGACAUGAACUCUUGAGCUUCAUGGAUGAAUACUCGAGGUAUAACCAGAUACCCAUGUUUCGAUCCGAUGAGGAUUCUACGUCAUUCAUCACAGACAGGGAAUUGUAUUGCUACAAAGUCAUGCCCUUUGGAUUUAAAAAUGCUGGAGCUACAUAUCAGAGGCUGGUCAAUAUGAUGUUUGCUGAACUCUUUGGCAAAAUCAUGCUAGUCAAAAGCCUUCAGGUCAACGAACACUUAAGUCACCUUGACCAAACAUUUCAGAUACUUAGAAAAUAUAAAAUGAAGUUGAACCCCCUCAAGUGCACCUUUGGAGUAGCUUCGGGUUAGUUCUUGGGAUACAUUAUAAACCAAAGAGGGAUCGAAGCGAACCCAGUGAAGAUAAUGGCCUUGCUUGAAAUGAGGUCACCUCAGAAACCAAAGGAGGUCCAAAGCCUCAAUGGUCGGAUAGCAGCACCCAGUCGUUUCAUCUCCAGAGCCACAGAUAAGAGCUUACCCUUCUUCAAUGUGCUAAAGCAAUGAAAGAAGUUCCAAUGGACUUCUGAGUGUGAAGAAGCCUUCCAAGUGCUGAAGAAGCACUUAGGAGAGGCACCCCUGUUGUCAAAACCUCAAUCGGUAGCGCCACUACUACUGUAUUUGGCGGUUUCGGACGGGGUAGUCAGCGCUGUCCUAGUUAGAGAAGAAGAUGAGCACUAGUUGCUAGUAUACUAUAUCAGCAAAGCACUCCUCCCAGCUGAAACAUGCUACCCAGACAUGGAGAAAUUGGCACUCGCUCUCAUCACAGCCUCAAGGAAACUGAGGCCAUACUUCCAGGCCCACCCAAUUGAAGUUCUCACCAACUUCCCAUUGAAGCAAGUGCUACAGAGAACAUACACAUUAAGAUGCCUACUAAAAUGGGCAAUCGAGCUUAGUGAUUUCGACAUACUAUUCCAACCUCGACAUGCCAUCAAGGGCUAGGCCCAUGCAGAUUUUGUGGCUGAGUUUGCCAAAGCCCCAGAAAUGGAGGCGACAAUGGAACCAGUCGAGUUCCCAACGUGGAAACUGUUCGUAGAUGGAUCAUCAGGAGAGGCCGACUCUGAGGCAGGGAUCAUCUUGGAAAGCCCCAAAGGCCACAAGCUAAAUUGUGCAGUAAGGUUCGGCUUCAAAGCCUCGAAACAACGCUGUCGAAUAUGAGGCCCUUCUAGUAGGCCUUAGACUGGCAAGAAAAAUGCAGGUCAGAAGGCUCCUAGCAAGUAGCGAUUCUAGCUUGUAGUGAGUCAGGUCAAUGGAAACUUCGCGCCCAAAGACAAUAGCAUGGUUGCAUACUUGAAAUUGAUUCUGGACCUAGUUCCUCAUUUUGAAAGGUUUGAGCUGAUUCAAGUCUCACACCUAGAGAAUACUCAUGUAGACACCCUGUCAAAACUGGCCAGCAGCAAGGAUUUAGAGCUACUAAAGAUUGUACCCAUUGAGCACUUAUCAAAGCCCUCUAUUUUCGGAGGAGAAGAGGUGCUAUGGAUAGAAGGCACCCCAGUAUGUAUGCAGCCCAUCAUCGUCUACCUUAAGGACCAAUCACUAUCAGCUUCCAGAAGCGAGGCGAGGAAGUUAAAAAGGAGGGUUGCACACUUCGUCCUACGAGAAGAUGUCCUCUACAGAAGAGGCUUCGCCUCACUACUUCUUCGAUGUAUAGGAGGCAAAGAAACUAUGUAUAUACUCGAGGAAAUCCAUGAGGAAAUUUGCGGGAAUCAUUUCGGAGGAACGACUCUGGCACACAAAGUGCUCUGACAAAGCUACUUUUGACCGACCCUGAAAAGGGAUGCUUGCAAGUUUGUCCAGAAAUGUGACAAGUGCGAGCGCUUCUCAAAUAUUCAAAGGCAGCUUUCUCAGAGUCUCUCUGUAGUAACCAGCCCUUGGCCAUUCGCUAAUGGGCCAUCGAUUUCAUUGGCCCACUUCCAAAAGGAAGAUGAAGUGCGACUUUUACCAUUGUUGCCAUCGACUAUUUCACCAAGUGGGUCGAAGCUGAACCUCUUGCCAAGAUCACCGAGUGAAUACUACAAAAUUCGUCUAGAAGAGCAUCAUUUGCAGAUUCGGCAUUCUCCACUCCUUAGUAUCUGACAACGGGAGACAGUUCGACAACAAGAAAAUGUGAAGCUUAUGUGACGAACUGGGCAUAAAGAAGGAUUUCUCGACGCCUCGUCACCCACAAGCAAAUGGGCAAGUUGAGGCAGUAAACAAAAUAAUCAAGCAUACCCUGAAAAUGAAGCUUGACACCUCGAAAGGGGCUUGGGUCGAUGAGCUUUUCCACGUCCUUUGGGUGAUCAGAACAAUUACUCGAACUACAACAGGGGAGACACCCUUCUCUAUGACCUACGGAGCCAAGGCCAUGAGCCCAGUUGAGGUAGGGGUCCUAUCACACCGCCGAAUACACUUCAAUGAGAUCAAUAAUGACAAGGCUCGAAUGAGCGAACUCCACCUCCUUGAAGAAAUGAGGGAUACCUCCCAGGUGAACUUAGUGAAGUAUAAUAGAAAGAUGACCCGCUAUUAUAACUCAAAGGUCAAAAAUCGGACUCUUCGUCUGGAAGACCUCAUCCUUAGAAGGGUCUUCCAGUCAUCAAAGCCAACCAGGUCCGGAGUGUUGGAACCGAAUUGGAAGGGUCGUUACCGCGUACGCAAGGAAUCCCGACUUGAUACUUUUGAAAUUGAAGACAUGGCAGAGAAUGUACUCCCUCAUCAACCGAAUAUCGAAUAUUUGAGGAAGUACUAUUAAUAAUGAGCUUGUGUUUCGAUCCGAUCUUAAUGAUGUCUAGUAAACGUGUCAUGAUCCGAUCUCAUUUGUAACUUCCCUAUCUUACUAAGUGUUGAAAAUGCCUUAGUGAAGAGUGAUGUAAUUCCUCUUAAGUAAUGAUACUUCAGUUGUUUGUCACAUCGAUUAGUAAAUUAUUACUUCAGUUUGUCAAUAUGUUAAUUGAUCUGAUCUUCUGUUAUUAACUGGUUAUUGGUAAUGGGCGCUUAAGUGGUAAUCAUACAUAUACUUAAGUGUAAACAGCACAAUGAAAAAAUCGAAGCAACAACACUGGUACAAAAAAAUUCUAUUUUCAUUCAUUUGGGAAUUGAAUCACAAGAGGCGGAGCCAUUACAAAAAUUGAUCAAUGCCACGCGAUUUAUGCAACGUGAUUUUAUACCGCUAGUGUACGGUGUCAAGUUUUGUAAUAUAGUAAUAGAGUAAAGAGUGUCGAACCCACAGGGAUUGUAAUUUAAAUUUCAAUAAGUACUAUAAUUGUGCAAUUUCUACUUUAUUUAGACAAAUGUAUGAUUAAAUGGAUUUAAUGUUUUAUGAGUGAAUAAAUUAAACUAAUCUAACAUGAAUUGGAUGCGAAAAAAUUGGGAAAUACAAAUUAUCAAAUGAGAAGGCCUAGGGAUUGAUUUCACCUAACUUUCAAUUAUGGUUUAACGAUUUUCAAUAAUUCCAUUUAAUUUUCACAUAUUUAAAAGCAAGAAUCAUAAUAUAUUCCUGUCCCCUCUCUCAAGUGCCGGCUAGAAAAUAAUCCUAGAUUCAAAUUCCAAUAUCUCUAUUCCGAAUUGAAAAUCAAGAAUUUAUAAAAGUCCCGAUUCUUGUAUGGAGUAAGCUUCACAGAUUUUACACUUUCUCUCAAAACCCAUAAAAUCUAUGUUGUGUCAAUCUUAUGAUCACGCCUAAAUUCUCCUCUCUCGAGUGCCGGAAUUGACUAGCAUCUAUUCAUUCAAUUAUUGAUCAAGUAAUUGAAAGCAUUAAAAUUAUGACACAAUUAAAUAUAUGUGGAAAAAUCAAAGAAAUAAUUAUAAAAUCAUCAAACCAUACUCGAUUCGGCUACAUCAAACCCCUAAAUAAUUUGUUUAGUUCAUGAUAUAAUAAAUGAAAAUCAUACAAAUUAUAACAAACAAUAUAAGGAAAAUGAUAGAAAAAACUAGUCUUUUGGGUAGAUUUCAAUCUUCUUCCUUGAUGUUGUUCCUCCUUCCUUUUUGUGUCUUCAAUUUUUUUGCCUCCUUCAAAUUGUAUGGUUGAAUCCUUAAUCUUGCCCCCUUCCAUCCCCUUUGAAAAUAUGGUUUUUUUUUUGGUAUUUAUAGUAUGUUGGGGUUAUUGGACGAAUUAGGGUUGAGUUCGGCCAAGAAAAGAUUCCAAAAAUAGAAAAUCCCGUUUUUCCGCACAGGGGGCGCCACGAUGCCCAAUCACUGUUGUUUUCAGCAUCUUGAGUGCCAUGGCGCCCACUUUGGGUGGAAAAGGCAGUUUUCGCUUCCUUCCGUAUUUUUGCCAUAACUUCUUCAUCCGAUAUCCGAUUAAGAUGAUUCAAGAUGCGUUGGAAAUGUAACUCAAAGGGAUAUAACUUUUCUUCAAACAUCAUUUCCCAAUUCCAUCGUUUGCUAUGUCAGAAAUAGGUCUCAAUGUGAGACCAAAACUCCGACGUGUAACUUUUUGGUUGGAAAAUGAUUUGUGAUUAUAUUUUGACUAAAUUUGAUCUCUUUGACACCUUCCUUCAUCCAAUUGACUCCUAGCGCUCUCGGAUCUUCAUCGUGAGUUUCGGCACGACUUUUGAUUAAUUACAUUUUAAUCCUCAAACUUUGGAUCUCUUACAUUUUGAUCAUUUCAUCCAAUUUCGCUAACUUUUGCCUAUUUCCUUCCUUUGGCCUCUUUUAGCUCUUGUUUUCUCCACUUCCAUCAAUCUACAAAAUAACACCAAAAUCACUUGUUAGCACUUCUAAAAUACUCUCCAAGAUAGCAAAAUCAUGAAAUUAAUGGCAUAAUAUAAUGAGUGUAAAUCACUCAUCAAUCAAUCCUACUCUAUUGGGGCAUCUGCUGCCCCGGCCUCCUCCGCCCCUGUCCCAGGGACCUUUGGAGCAUCUUCGACGAGCCUAUCAGGUCGACCUCUGGUAGGCCUGUCAAACUCUGCCUCUAGCGAAGAUACGUCCAGAGUAGGAUGGACCUCCUUCAGCCGACCCAGUAUCCCUUGGGCGCUCCAGGAAGCCCAAAAGUUGGCAAAGUCAUCAUAUAGGGGGUGCUCUUCAAAGUGGUCGAUGAAGUUCUGUACAGCCACCUCCCCUACCGACUUUAGUUCUUCCUUCAAAGAGGCAAUCUCCUCAGCUUGGGCAUCCGCUUUCUGCCUCAGCCUCGCCUUUUCUUUGUUAGAGGCCUCCAGAGCCACCAUGGCGAGCCGGUGGUGCUCAUUUGCAUGAUCAACUCUUCGGGUCAUAGCAGCCACCUGGCACUCCACUCCAUAGAGCUCCUUCUUCAGCCGCUCUAUGUCCUCCUUUGCAGCCCCCAGCUGGGCCUCAGCCUCCUUCCUUCCUUUUCCUUCCUCCUCGGCCUUGGGCUGGGCCUCCCUCACUACAUCGCCAUAGUGCAUCGCCUCUUCAAGGUGCUUGGCGAGGUCCUCCUUCUUAGCGAUGAGGUCUUUUACCAAACCCUCGAAUUUGAUGCUUGUACUUAAGGCUCGGGCCCCACAAGUACUGUUGGCUGCGACCAUAUCCUCGGCAAUGUAGGAAGCGGUGUGGUCUCUCCACUCCUCAAUCUAAUACUUACUGUGGACCACCGUCACCACAGUUGUCUCUAGAAGAAGGGCCUCCAACAUUUCCUUCAUCGGCUCCUCUAAAUUGAUGCCCAAGAAGUCCACCUCUUUCGAGGGACGGGCCAUUUUCAUCUUUUGCUGCACCGGCGCUUGAGCAAUGGGCACAGUGACGACUGGCGACGUAGCCAGGGCAGGAGAAGCCUCUGAAGACGCAAGCCUCUUCUCCGGGAUGACCACCCCGGUUGGAAUUGUGGUCUGCCUCAAAGCCGGAGGCGACCUUGCUACAGUUGGGUGCUUCGAGGCGGCAGCAGGCCUUUUUCCUUUUCGCAGCAGAUUGGUGUCCAGGUCCUUCGCCACCUCCUCCUCGGUGGGAGGCUGGAGCCUUUUGCUGGCCUGCACCAGAUCCUCCAUCUGCUUUUUGUAUGUAGACGAGGAGGUCUUCAAGGCUCUCGCCUCUGCCAUCAUCCUUUGGAUGGUUUUGAAGUUUGGCCUCAGAGGUAGCUUCUUAUUAAAGUUAUUUGCAAUAGGGCAGGCAAAUUAGUACAAGUGUAAAGAGUUCGAAAAGUACUGAAAGAAUUCGCUUCGGGACAUUUACCUUGGGAGGUCAUCAAAUUGUGCGUCACGAAGUGAACGUUUUUCUUUAUCAACAGGUGGUAUGACCUCUUCUUCGAAGGUAGCUGAUAAAUAAUGCAGAUGAUGUCGAAGUUGUUAGCGGAAAGCUCGCACCAAGGAAGACAACCUUCAAAAACAAACAGAACAUUUAAUAACCGAAUCGAAGAAGAAUAAACAAGAUAUACAAAGCAACAGAACUCACUAAGUGUUGAAUACUUUGUGGGGGCCGUAAGAGGCACCAGGGGGUCCCCCUCCAUCGUGUCCCAUCUUCUGGCAGCCCAGCACCAUGAGCUCUUCUACUCAUUGAUGGAGCUCGGCAGAUCAAGCACGAAUGGAGUGUGGAAAUCCUAAGAGGUUAAGUAGUACCAGCCUCUGGUCUUAUCCCCCAGCCGCUACCUUGGGGAUGUAGAGGGUCUGGAAUACAGAAUAAGGCAUCUCCACCCCAAGCGACGCUUCCUUCCACAACAUCCAGGAGCCCACCAUUUGGCUUCAGGAGUUCGGGUCAAUUGGGUAGGAUCUAAGCCGUAUAACCUAAGUACCAUACGGAAGAAAGGGUAGAUUGAGAGCCUAAGGCCAGCCCUAAGGAUCACCUUGCUAAUGGCCACACACCCUAGCCUAGGGUAGCAGGCCCACUCGUCAGGUUCUGGUAGGAUUAGAUCUUUGCUAUCUGGGCUCAUAUAUUUAGCCCUACGUCUCUCCAGGUCGGCGCCCUUUAUUUUAGAGGGGUAAUCCAAUGCUCCCCAAUGCACAGAUGUGUUAGUUAGGCUAUAUGGCCUCUUCCAUAGGUUUUCCCCCCCAAUAAUCAUCUCGGCUAUCUCUGAGAAGGUCGCCAAAAUGGGCUCAUCCAUCCUCACUAGUUACAAUCCCCUACCCGAACUACCACUACCUUCAGAAGCCAUUUUCAGAAAGAGCGUCCCAACUCAUCUACACCUUUGAAUUCAAAUGCAAUCAAUCUAGGCCGUCUGUCGCAUCAUCAAUCCAGGCCAUUGAAACGAAACACCAGAUUAGAUCUACGCCUAAGAUCUAGCUGUGACAUUUAUGCUCACGCGAAAAGCGUCACCUAGAUCAACAUCAGCCAUCUAUAAUAAGUAGCCACUGCAACCUUUUACGCGAAACGCCCAACUAUAGCCUUGGAAAUACGCGACAGCUGUCAAAUCAUUUAAAGUCAGAGAUGCCCACCUCUGAUUGAGCUCCUCACUCAGCUUUACUAAACUUAGACGUACCUGACGUGAAGUCCCCUGUGGGUCAUCUCCUCGGAGCUACAUUCCUUCCUAAGCUUUACGAAGCUUUAGCCAUCUCCCAAAUCGUCGUCCCCUGCGGGUUGUCGCACCGGUAGCAGAUGAGCUCCUCACUUAGUUUUACUAAGUUUAGACGCACCUGACACGAAGUCCCCUGUGGGUCAUCGCCUCGGUAGCUGCGUUCCUUCCUAAACUUUACAAAACUUUAGCCAUCUCCCAACGCGUCGUCCCUUAUGGGUCAACGCACCAGUGGCAGAUGAGCUCUUCACACAGCUUUACAAAUCUUAGCCGCAUCUGAUGCGGAGCCCCCCUGUGGAUCAUCGCCUCGGAAGUUGCGUUACAAAGCUUUAUCAAUCUCCUAACGCAUUGUCUAGUUGGCAGCACAUCAACCUCGGAUAAGUUCUUCCCUUACAUAGUAAUGAAUCUUUAGCGCGUCUGCCUGUGGUCAAUGCUUCGGUAAACACAGAAAAUCGACCUAUAAGCCCUCACAAAUCGCGGUACCCAUCCCAAGGUAGACAUACUCGAUCGGGAAAACAAGUCCACCCAUGAUAUAAAUAUUCAUACCUAAACUUGGGGGGACCACUGUUACGCCCCUAUCUGAAACACUUCGAAAAGCCUACCACCGCAUCGUACGAGGUGUGCAACACCCAUCCGAAGUGGAGCCACCAUCUGCUAACACUGCAAAACAUAGACAAUUUACUGAACUGACCGAGGCACCCUCGUCCCUGAAUUCGAAGUGCAGUUUAAGCCGAAAUUCUCUAUUAGAGGAUCCGUCGUCAAUUUCAAAAAGAAAUCUAUGUUAAGAUCCUUUCUGCCCCCAAGAUUCAAUUGAUUUGACGUUUCCAUGAGCCUAGUUGAUGUGAAGUAUCAACUUUAUGUCAACUCAACUCGGGAGAAGUAAUUACCCGCCCACUCUAUAGACGCGGCCGAUUGAUGCCUAUGAGCAGACGUCUCACACCGUCAGAUGCGUACACGUGUCCUACAUCAACGUUUCUCCUUAUCUAUAAAUACCGAAGGUUUGACGAGGCAAAGGUAAUGAAACUCUUACAACAUAGCUUUCCAUCACAAGCAAAUAUAUAUUCUCCUCUCCUUUAUUUAGCACAACCUUGGAAUUGUUCCGACCACCUGAAGCUAACUUGACCGUCGGAGUGUAUGCGGCCGCCACCACCCUCGUUGAUUCUGGCCGUGUGCAUCUAACCGUGCAUUGACUGUGCGCAGGGAGGAAUACUUGGAUUAGCUAUCGGUUGACCACGUGGAGGGUCCAAUUUGCGAGGUCAACAAUCACUGUCAAGUAUCGUUUUCCCAUCCCUCGACUCGAUGAUAUGCUAGAUAUGAUGGCCGGUGCCACAAUCUUUUCCAAAAUCGAUUUGAAGAGUGGGUAUCAUCAUAUUCGGAUCCGCCCAAGAGACGAGUGGAAAACUGCAUUUAAAACGAAAAAUGGUCUAUACGAGUGGUUGGUAAUGCCUUUUGGACUAACCAAUGCUCCAAGUACUUUUAUGAGGCUGAUGACACAGGCCUUUCGGCCUUUCAUGGGCAAAUUCAUUGUCGUAUACUUUGAUGACAUCCUUGUGUACAUCAAAACAAGGGAACAACAUUGAGAUCAUCUUGCGCAAGUUUGCUCUACACUGCGUGCAACAAGCUUGUAUGCCAAUGUGAAGAAACAUUCUUUCUUCACGGAUACAGUUAUGUUUCUCGGCUUCGUUGUUCCCGCUACGGAAGUAUCUAUUGAUCCUGUGAAGAUUCAGGCAAUUGUUGAGUGGCCUGACCCCAAGAAUAUACAUGAUGUUAGGAGUUUUCAUGGGUUAGCUACCUUCUAUCGUCGUUUCAACAAGGGGUUUAGUACGAUCAUGGCUCCCAUCACAAAGUAUGAAGAGAGGAGAAUUUCAUUGGACACAAGAAGCGGCUAAGGCCUUUCAGUUAAUCAAAAAACAAAUGACUGAGGCUCCUAUCAUGCGGCUCCCAGAUUUUUCCAAAGUUUUUGAGAUCGAAUGUGAUGCGUCAGGGAUAGGAAUAGGUAGAGUCUUGAGUUAAGAACACCAUCCUAUUGCUUAUUUUAGUGAGAAAUUAAAUGAUGCCAAGCAAUGGUACUUGACUUAUGAUAAAACAUUGUACGCAGUUGUACAAGCCUUGCGCUAUUGGCGUCAUUACUUAUUACCCCACGAAUUUGUCCUUUUUUCAGACCAUGAGGCCUUUCGUUUCCUUAAUUUCCAAAGACGAUUGAAUUCUAGGCAUGGCCGCUGGAUCGAAUAUUUGUAGGCCUAUUCUUUUGUCUUUAAGCAUAAAAAGGGCGUUGAAAACCGAGCUGCUGACACUUUAAGUCGUCGCAUUUCCUUGUUGUCCAUUAUGAGUGUUAAGGUUAUAAGGUUCGAAAGACUUAAGGAAGAGUAUGAGUCAUGUUCCGAUUUCAGAGACAUUUUUCUUGCCUUGCAAAAUGGGGAGUUGGACACCACUGAUGUUUUCGUUUGGAGGAGGGCUAUCUUUUUAAAUUCAAUAAGUUGUGCAUCCCGAGGACUUCAGUACGAGACUUUAUAGUUUGGAAAAGUCACGCUGGCGGGUUGGCUAGACAUUUUAGGCCUGAUAAGACCAUAGAGGAGAUUGAACAUCAAUUCUAUUGGCCUAAUUUAAAGACAGACGUGGCUAAAAUUGGUGUCACAUGUAACACCUGUCAGCAUUCUAAGUAAAAGAGGCAGAACACAGGCCUCUACACACCUCUCUCUAUCCCUAGUCCUUGCCAAGACGUUAAUAUGGAUUUCGUGCUAGGGUUGCCACGUACUCCAAAGAAACACGACUCCAUUUUCGUUGUCGUAGAUUGCUUUUUGAAGAUGGCACACUUUCUUCCUUGUAACAAAAUUUUUGAUUCAUCUAAGGUUGCUAAGUUAUACUUUCAUGAGAUCGUCAAGCUGUAUGGCCUCCCAAAGACCAUUGUCUCGGAUGGGGAUGUGCGUUUCACUAGCUAUUUUUGGCGAACCCUAUGGAGUAUGGUUGGCACUAAACUGAAAUUCUCUGCAGCAUGCCACGCACAAACGGAUGGUCAAAUUGAAGUUGUUGACCACAAUCUUGGUAAUCUAUUAAGGUGUCUAGUCCAGGAAAAUCUUAGGAAUUGGGACUUAUUUUUUUCUACCGCCCAACUUGCAUACAACAGUUCAGUGAAUUGGUUUAUAGGUAUGAGUCCUUUUGAGGUUGUUCAUGGUUUUAAGUCUAGGAAGCCGUUAGACCUUAUUCUCAUGUCUUCACAUGCUAGUGUGUCCAUGUCAGCUGAGUCUUUUGCACAACAUUUGCGUGACUUGCAUAUUGAGAUCAAUAAGCAGCUAGAAGCGAGUAAUGCAUUAUAUAAAUUUUGAGCUGAUCUGCACAAACGCCACGUUGAAUUUAAUGUUGGGAAUUAUGUUAUGAUUCGAAUUAGAUCGAAACAGCGUCCAUCUGGGCCUACUUCCAAAUUACAAGCUCGUAGUGCUGGUUUUUUUAAAAUUUUAAAGCGUGUUGGUCCAAAUGCAUAUUUCAUUGACUUACCAUCACACUUUGGCUACACCCUGCCUUUAAUGUUGAGGACUUAGUUUCUUAUAAAGGUCAAUUUCACCCUGCUGAUGAUACUUUCGUACCUCCAUUUGUGGACCCUCAUCUUGAACAUGUUAUCCCUGCACCGAUUCCACUUGUUGCAGCACGUAAAAAUAAAAUUGAUAUUAUUCUAGAUGCACAGACCAUAUUAACCAAGGAUGGAGACAUUCAGUGUUUCCUUGUUCGUUGGGAGGGUCGUCCUGAUUCUGAUUGUAUUUGAAUCUCCAAGGAGACACUUCAACAGCUUGAUCCCGAUUUGUUGGAGCAUUAUAUGAGUUAACAAGAUCUUCCAUUACCAGGAUCACCAUCCUUAUGUGUCUAUAGACGUUGAAAAAAGUUUGCUCAACCGCUUAGUUUGUGGCUGGGAGAUUGACAGCAGCAUUUUGUAGUUUACCUACUUGAUGGGGUUGAAUUUUUCUCCCAUUCCAGAAGAGUUGAUGUGGACAUCAUACUCAUCAUCAGGCCAUUUGUGGGCCAUUUUUAUCUUCUAUUUUAGGUUUAUAUUUUGUAGGACUUGUAUAUGAGUUUGGCCCAUACCCAAAUUUAGUAUUUUGUCAUUUAUAUGGUUGUAACUUCUCAUUUGAUGAGUGAAAGACAUUUUCUUUGUUGGUUUGUCCACGUCUCUUCCCUCUCUCCCAGUUUCCCCUCUCCUCUACUUUCUUCUUCUUCUUCUCCCUGAUUGAUCCUACAUCAUAUCUCAAGACUGGAUCUUUUGUUGAUUGGGUUUCUUUAGAGUUCCAUAACAUGAAAUUGAGAAGAUUUCAAUGGUUGCUACUUUUUGAAUGUUUGAAUUUUUUUCUGGUCUGAUUGUCGGUAUAAUAUUUUUUUCUAAAAGUUCUCCAUCUGCUUUUGAACCUUUUUUGGACCAAACCCGUACUUCCCAUUGUUAUUUUUUAUGACCCUAGUAUUAAUAAAAUGAAAUAUACAUGAUUUUGAUCGAGAGUCCGCAGAUUGUUGUAUUGUUUUCUUUUUCUUUUUCUUCUUCUUUUCUCUCCUCCCUGGGGCAUGUGGGCUACUCCUGCAGAUCAUUUCAAUGCAUCUCUAAGUUUGGUUCUGCUGUUUAUGAUGUAAAUUCAUCUAUGGUUGGCUUCUGUUUUACAAUUUGAUUUGAGGAAUUCGGUUUCUUGAGGUUUAAUAUCAUAGAUCUAUUCAGCACAUUUGGUCUAAAGUCUGAUUCAUUUUGUCCCCCCCUUUCGGUGUAGUGAUCUAACCACAGUUUUUGGUUUGAUAUUAGUAUUAUUUUCAUUCUCACCUUAAUAUGGGUAUAAUCUUUGUAAGCAUGUUACUCGUGUUACGCCUCGAUGAUUCGCGCCUAGAUACCGAAGUGACAUCUCGAUGAUUCGCGCCUAGAUACCGAAGUGACAUCUCGAUCAUUCGCGCCUCGAUACCGAAGUGCCAUCUCACCAUACGCAGAACCCGUUUACUCCGACCUGAAAAUGACCCUCUCGAAACUUCUCCGAAGUGAUAUAUCAAUUCCUACUACUGAUCUGCCAAAGCAUCUCACCUCCGAGGUCGAGAUCAAGUGGACCCCACUUAAAAGAUCCGCCGCCAAUUUAAGAUUUGUCCUGCACCUAAGGCUUAAAUUGAUUUGACGUCUCCAUGAGGCUAUUUGAUGUGACUUAUCAACUUUAUGUCAAUUCAACUCGGGGGAAACAAACUUCCGCCCACUCUACAAGCGCGGCUGAUUGACGCCUAUGAGCAGACGCUUCAUACCGUCAGAUGUACACACGCGUUCCACAUCCAGCGGUUCAUACCACCUACAAAUACCCAAGGUUUGACAAGAGGCAAAGGUAAUGAAACUCUCAAUACAUAGCAUUCCAUAACAAGUUUAUAUAUUCUCCUCCCCCCCCCUUUUUAUUGAUUGAUUUGUGUAGCCCCUGGGCACUGUUCCGACCACCCAAACCUGACUUGACUGUCGGAGUGUAUACGGCCGCCACCACCCCCGUCGAUUCCGGCCGUGUGCGCCUGAUCAUUUGUUCAUUGCGCAGGGAGGAAUACGUGGAGUAACUAUAAGUUGGCAACGUGGAGGAGCCAUUUUUGGAGGUCAACAACUCGCUUUGUUGGUUGUGAUUUCUAAAAUUAAUCUUUCUUAAUAGUUUCUAUAUUUUCUCCUCAAUCUGUCUUUAGGAAUGAAGAUUAAGACUGAUACGCCUAUUGCAAAGAAGGCAAGGGAAGGAGUGAUGGAGUUCCUAUUGAUGAAUCAUCCAUUGGACUGCCCAAUUUGUGAUCAGGGUGGAGAGUGUGAUCUUGAGGACCAGUCUAUGGCUUUUGGUUCUGAUCGAGGUUGUUUUACUGAAAUGAAGAGAUCGGUUGUUGAUAAGAACCUAGGCCCAUUGGUCAAAACUGUUAUGACUCGAUGUAUUCAGUGUACAAGGUUUGUAUCUGGUUCACUUAUAAUUGACCUUCCUAAUUGGGCAUAGUGAUGUACAUCAACUAAGGUUUCUAUUGCAUUAAUGAAAUUAAUUUUUUCAGUCUUCUAGAUAGAAGUUAAAUUGGCAAUAUAAUGGUUCAUUUCUAUUAGGCUGCUUAUGGCAGUUUCUAGCAUGAAUUUAGAAGCUAAGAAACAGAAUAAGCUGGCUGAAAUUUUUCGAGACAAACCUUGCCAUCGAUUUCAUGACUAUAUGUCAGUAUCUGUUUCUUUAGUGGUCAACUGUCAACAUUGUCUCAGAGAGGCCUAUUCUGUACUUCAAUAGAUAAUGUUUGGAACCUGUCGUAAUGUAGUCCACUUGAGACUGUACUUGUUCAAACUUAUAACUAACUACAUUCCUAAACUUGAAUACAUUUCAUUAUGUUAAGUGCAAUAGUUAUAUUCUCUCCAGAUGUUUUAAAUUAAUGUAAUUCAGGCUGUUUCUAUAUGCUGAUCUAUUAUAGAUAAACGUGUCAAGUGAAUGUAAAUUAUAAGCAUGUUUUGGAAGUUUUUAUAAACGGUUUAAGUUAUAAAUAGAUAGAAGUAAGUGGUAUAAGUAGUAGUCUUUACGUGUCUACGAGUGUGGAUAAAAGUAGUUUGACUGAUUGAAAACAGUUUAUAAAUAUUAGCCAAACAUAUGCUGAUUUUUUGAAAACCAUCUUCAGUAAGGAUAUGUUCAUCAAACAGGUGUGUAAGGUUUGCAACUGAGUAGUUGGUGUUCAGGAUCUUGGCAUGCUGCGUCGUGGCAGUGGAGAAGAGAUUGGAACUUAUGUAGAGAAACUAAUGACAAGUGAACUUUUAGGGAAUGUGAUAGAUAUUUGUCCUGUAGGAGCCCUCACUUCAAAACCUUUUGCCUUUAAAGCUUGAAACUGGGAGUUGAAGGGAACAGAGAGCAUUGACAUCACUGAUGCUGUUGGCUCAAACAUCCGAAUUGACAGUAGAGGUCCAGAGGUCAUGCGCAUUCUGCCACGAUUGAAUGAGGUAUUUUGAAAUGUAGUGUUGUUUUCCUAUCAAUUUUGUUUCACGUAUCAAUUGUUUUAAGCCAUCGCUGAGGCUAUUGAGAGGAUUUGGCGGACGGACAUUGUCUUAGAGAUAAUUUCAACCUUAGAUUAUGUAUUGAAUCAAAUUUCUGUCAACCUUAAGCUGUGUUUGUUCUGAUUGUGAUUUUAGUAUGCAGUGGAAAUAAGGAUAGAUUCUAUCAAGACCAAAUCAGUUCAGUAACAAGAACAGAACAAAGUAUAUUUUGAGAGAAACUUUUUUUUUUAUAUAUAUGAAUUAUUUGAUUUGAGUACAUGACAAACCUAUUUAUAGGAUAGCAUAAGACUACUAAGAGUCACACAAUUAAGAAGAAUAAUAAUGACUAAUAAUGAUGGUGAAUGCAUUCAUCUCUUCAUCUUCCUCUCCAACACUCUUCAUCUUCCUCUCUAACACUCUUCAUAUUUCAUCAUGUGGAGAAAACCAAAAGUCUUCAAUAAUCAACAAGCUGCUUAAUUUGGCAUUGUUGCCAGUUGUUUAAGAGGUCUCUACAUUUUCGAUUUCUAGAGCUUAAGUUUCGUAAUUUAAUUCUGGCGGCAUCUUUAUUUUGUCAAUAAAUGAUUUCAUUGUAUUCGUAACUUAUGCUGCUUAGACAUGGACGUAAUAAAGGAUAUGCCAUAUCUAGCUGAGAAUAUUGUAAAUUGGGUCUCCGCAAGCCCUAUGUUGAUAUCUGAUUUUGUUUACUUUUUCAAAUUGAUCCAGUGUUGAGAACCUUUUUUCUUGUUUUAUGAUUAACUUCCCCCUUUUAUUUAUCUAUCCCCCACCCCACCCGGUGCAUGAGUUGUAUAAUAUUGCGAAGUUGCUCUCAGACAGUGUUCAAAAGAUGUUAUUUAUUCCUUUGUUAUGUAUUGUUAACAUAUUGACCACAGUUUUCAUGCAAACUCUUUGACUUGAUUUGCUAGUUGUCUUGUUGAAACAUGAGAGUAGGUUUAAAUCUUUUGUUGCACAUAUAUGCAGGACGUCAAUGAAGAAUGGAUAUCAGAUAAGACACGUUUCUUUUAUGAUGGUCUGAAGAGGCAGAGGCUAAAUGACCCCGUGAUUCAUGGUGCAGAUGGGCGCUUCAAGACUUUAAGCUGACGGGAUGCACUUGCUGUGGUCGCGAGGUCAUGCACCAAGCUAAACCAGAGGAAAUUGUUGGGGUUGCUGGUAAGUUGUCUGAUGCAGAAUCCAUGAUGGCACUAAAAGAUUUUUUGAACAAGAUGGGGUCAAAUAAUAUUUGGUGCGAAGGAAAUGGCCCCCCAAACCCAAAUGCUGACCUGCGUUCUGGAUAUAUCAUGAACACUACCAUCAGUGGGUUGGAGAGAGCAAUUGUUUUUCUUUUAGUUGGCACACAGGUAAGCAUCCUUGCUAAUUGAUAUGUAUGGGUUAUGACUUUUGAUGACUUCUAUGUCUAGUGUCAAUCUCAACAUAGAUUUUUAGCUUGGUAGGCCUCUCUAACCAUUGCCAAUUUGCUUUAAAUUGGAUGCCUGGCAAGGUAACAGUGUAAGGUUUUUCGAUUUUUGCGCUUCUUAAUUUUUGGUUAUAGCGUUGAUCUGAAUACUCUUGUCAUAGUACAGUAUGAUAGUACAGUAUGACCUCUAUAAGCUAAUAACCUCUAUUAUAUAAUAAAUUUCUUGGUCCCAACAUUAUUAAUUCAUAGAGGUAAUAUUGUAUAGUCAUAGUUUUGGAAUAUGCUAUUCGUGGACUAGUGUAGAACGGCUGGAAAACUUUGAGAAUGACGUACACCACAAUUGACUAUCUACCAUUCAAUAAACGCGAGGCUGUCUCAAAUUACUAAUCCAACCUCAAAAUAAUAGAAAACAGAUGAGUAAUCAUCAGUUGACUGGUGCAUGAAGUUGGCCGUUGUUUGAUACUGGGCAAUAUCAUUUCUGUUGAUGGUGACGUAUUGGUUGUGCUGAUUCGAUGACUAAUUUUAAAUGUUUCUUUGGAUGGAGCUCAAGAAUUUCUUGACAAAUUAUUAUUGGUAGAUACAAGUGAUACAAGCACAGUGUGCUUGUUUGAGCCCAUAGAAUGACAUGUUCAUUUACAGACACAAGUCGAUGAGAAUUACCCUCUAAGCCCAGUGGUUGGUGCAUAAAAACAUCUUCAUCUAGCUGACCAUGGAGAAAUGCAUUUUGGAAAUUCAUUUGGAAGAUACACCAUUGUCAAGGUAUUUCAAUGGGUUUCACAAUUCUGAUUGGUGUAUGUUCAUUAACUGGAUUGAAGGUGAGAGCACUGUUUAUCCUUGUACCCUUGAUAAACCAUUUCGUGACAUGCCUGAGAAUUUUGCUGGCCAAUGUUACUUGUUGGCAUUGUGUAUAGAAGAAAUGCUUAUUUGCAGCUGAAUAUGUAUAUGUAAUUGGGUUAGAUGGUUAUAAGUACCAAGUGUUGUUACCGGUGAGGGAUUUAUCUCAUCACGCAUGAUUUUCCUUCAGGUUUUUAGUGGAAGCUGUUAGAAAAAAUUAAUUAGCUGCAGUAGUGAUCUGAACAAUAUAAUGCAAAAAUAUAAAACUUAUCGUCCGAUCGAGUCUCGUGACAGCACGAUGUCCUAAAGUGAAAUUGCCCGUCAAUAAUUGUUGCGACCUCCGUGGACAAUCACUCCCAGGAUACAACGAUCGUAAACCACUUGUACAGCAAUCACGAAUGAUUUUUCUAGAACUCUCAAUUGUACUCCAGAAUAGAUAUAAAAACCCGAAUAUAAGACAUUCACAAUAUGAAAAGAGUGAUUGAUGCAAGAUGAUUUUUCUAUUUUCUUUUUGUGUGUCUUUUUCCCAAAACGAGAUAUGGGUUUAUAUAUGCAAGAUAGUAGUAAUAGUCUUCACCAUGUUAAUGCAGAAUUUUAAUGACUGAGUAGUGGGUGUUUUAAUGGCUGUUAGUGGGUUGUUACAAAAACAAACAGUCAUAAAAUACUGGCUAGUUUUACCCAUUAAAAAAGAAAAAAAUAUUUAUUUUAGUCAAGAAAGCCCAAGAGCCCAAGGCCCCAAUCAAGACAUUUUAAUAUCUGCGUGGGGAGUGACUCGAACCCCUGACGUCCCACACAAAUGUCACAUUUCCCACCACUUUGACACUUUAUCUAAUUUGAUUAUUUCUUUCACAUUUUAUAUUUAUACCAUAAAUAUAUAACAAUCCCCCACAUGAAAGAAAUAAGAUAAAUGAAAAUAUUAUUCUGGAGUACGGUAGAAAUCAUGCAGGCUUAUGUGUCUAUCGACUUGAACCUUGGCUUUGUAUAUUCUAUCGAGCUUACUAACUGUAGAGUGAACUAUGUCUUGAACUCUACAAUUAUAGUUGCAAACUGAGACAAUAGAACACACACAUGAUUUCUAGAACAGUCAUUGAGUUCUCGCGGUUGUGUUCAUUUCGACCGUGAACUUUCCCAGUUUCUUUGAGUGCUCUAAAGAAUUCGCCUCAAUUCUCAUAGGAAGCGACCCCACUUCCACACUCAAAUAGGUGGUACCAUCAAGGGUGCACUGUAUUUAAACACCCCACUGAAUAUCAGCUAUAGUAAGCAUUAAGAGUAUUAGCUCAUCCUCUAAUCAAUACAGUUGGUACUACGCAUCAUAGGGAGGGGUUUGGAAUAAAUCCAAUGUAGUACCCCCACAGACCACUCCAAUAACUUUGUUGUCCCAUUGAACCUUGACCAUGGGAUCUCCAAUUGCAAGGUUGAGUUUCCAUUAUAGGUGAUCUAAUACAUAAUAGGCUUUAGCCCCAUCCCCCUCGAUGUUUGUUGAAUUAGUUCUCUAGCUAAUCCUUUGGUUAAUGGGUCAGCAAUGUUAUCACUUGACUUCACAUAGUCAAUAGCUAUAAUUCCAUCUUUAAGCAGCUGACGCACAGUAUUGUGCCUCUUACGAAUAUGUCUAGACUUUCCAUUGUAGGAUGAAUUUUGAGCUCUUGAGAUAGCUGCUUGAUUAUCACAAUGUAUUGAAAUAGUUGGAAAUGGUUUAGACCACAAAGGAACAUCCAUAAGAAAAUUCCUUAACCAUUCAGCCUCCUCACCUGCCUUAUCUAAAGCUAUGAACUCAGAUUCCAUAGUAGAUCUAGCAAUGCAGGUUUGCUUAGUGGAUUUCCAGGAGACAGCUCCGCCUGCUAAUGUAAAUACAUAUCGACUUGUAGAUUUACUUUCAUUGGUAAAGGAAAUCCAAUUAGCAUCACAAUAUCCCUCAAGUAUAGCAGGGAAUUUGGUAUAAUGUAUUCCCCAGUCUAGAGUGUAUCUCAAAUACCUCAAGACUUGAAUAAGAGCAUCCCAAUGUUCAUUGUUAGGAUUACUAGUAUACCUGCUAAGUCUACCGACAGCAUAUGGUAUAUCAGGUCUUGUACAGUUCAUGAGAUACAUGAGACUGCCCAUUACUUUAGCAUACUCUAAAGCGGAAACACUAGGACCUGAAUGUUUUCUCAAAUGACGGCUUGCAUCAUAAGGUGUUUUAGUAGGAAUACAGUUGUAUUAAUUAAACUUCUUAAGCACUUUUUCUACAUAAUGUGAUUGGGUCAAAAUAAUUCCUUCAGAAUGUUUUACUAUUUUGAUUCCUAGAAUAACAUCAGCAACACCCAAAUCUUUCAUUUCAAAGUGCUUGUUCAGAAACCACUUAGUUUUAUUAACCACAUCUAAACUAGUUCCCAUAAUCAGCAUAUCAUCAACAUAUAAGCAAAUUAUCACACCACAAUUAUUUUCAAAUUUGCUAUAUAUGCAUUUAUCUGCUUCAUUUAUCACAUAACCACUUGAUGUCAAAACUGUAUCAAAAUUUUCGUACCAUUGCUUAGGAGCUUGUUUAAGGCCAUAAAGGGAUUUUUUAAGUCUACAUACUUUAUCCUCAAGGCAUUCUACAACAAAUCCUUCAGGCUGAUCCAUAUAAAUCUCCUCUUCUAAGUCUCCAUUUAAAAAUGCAGUUUUGACAUCCAUUUGAUGUAUAAUAAGAUCAUACAGUGAGGCAAUUGCAAUUAACAUCCUAAUAGAGGUAAUCCUAGUAACGGGUGAAUAAGUAUCAAAGAAGUCAACUCCUUCCUUUUGUUUAUAGUCUUUAGCUACAAGUCUUGCUUUAUACUUAUCAAUUGAACCAUCAGGUUUAAGUUUUUUCUUAAACAACCAUCUACACCCAAUUGUCUUACAUCCUUGAGGUAAGUCCACUAACUCCAAAGUAUUAUUAGAUAUAAUUGAAUCAUAUUCACUAUUUACAGCUUCCUUCCAAAAUAUAGAAUCUGGUGAAAACAUAGUUUCACCAAAAGUAUUAGGAUCAUCCUCUACUAAGUAGGUUAUAAAGUCAGGACCGAAAGAAGUAGUGGUCCUAGGUCUUUUGCUUCUCCUAAUUUCAGCUUCUUCUAAUUCAGAUGGCUCCUCUCUAACACUAGGAGGAAUACUAAAAGAACUGCUUGAUCCUUUAGACUUUUCUUUAAACGGAAAUCUAUUUUCAAAAAAUUCAGCAUCUCUAGUUUCAAAUAUUGUAUUCUUUUCAAUCAAAUUAUUUUUAGAGUCAAUGACUAAAAAUCUGUAGGCAUUACUAUGAAAAGCAUAGCCUAUAAAAACAAAAUCAACAGUUUUCGGACCAAGUUUAGUUCUCUUAGGUGCUGGAAUAGAAGUUUUAGCUAAACACCCCCACACUUUAAGAUAUUUAUAUGAAGGUGUUCUGCCCUUCCACAUUUCAUAAGGAGACUUAUUAUUUUUCUUACUAGGAAUUCUGUUGAGAAUAUAACAUGCAGUAAAAAGUGCUUCCCCCCAUAUGUUAAAAGGUAAUCCAGAAGAGCUUAGCAUUGAUAUGACCAUAUCCUUAAGGGUUCGAUUUUUUCCUUUCAGCUACACCAUUAGAUUGUGGAGAAUAAAGUGGAGUAGUCUCAUAAAUAAUACCAUUCUCAACACAAAAUUUAUCAAAAUCUCCUAUAUAUUCUCCUCCCCUAUCAGAUCUUAAAACUUUAAUAGUUUUGUCUAGCUGAUUUUCUGCUUCAAUUUUAUAGGAAAUAAAUUUUGAAUAGCUUUCAUCCUUACUCUUAAGUAGAUAAAUAUAACAAUAUCGAGAAUAAUUAUCAAUGAAAGUUAAGAAAUAUUUAUUUCCACCACGAGUAACAUAUCCUUUUAAGUCACAUAAAUCAGAAUGUAUCAAACUUAAGACCGAAGUAGUCCUAUCAACAUGAGGAAAUAGUUUUCUAGAAUAUUUAGAUUCAACACAUGUUUCACACUUUGAAUUUGGACAAUUAUCGAUUUUGGGAAUGUUUCCCAAAGUCAUUAAUUUUUUAAUAGAAGUUUUAUUAACGUGUCCAAGUCUAGCAUGCCACAAAUCAUAAGAAUCCAACAAGUAAACGGAAGAGCUAGAUACUUUAUUGUUAAUCACAGAGACAUUGAGUUUAAACAGACUCUCAUCUGCAUACCCUUUCCCAACAAAAGAACCACCCUUAGACAGUACAACUUGACCACUUUCAAAUACAAUCUUAAAACUCUUUUUUACUAAGAUAGAUCCAGAUACUAGAUUUUUCCUAAUAUCAGGUACAUAAAGGACAUCCUUCAAAUUAAGGAUAUUUCCAGAAGUAAAUCUAAGCGUCACAGUUCCUUUCCCCUCUAUUUUGGAGGAGGAAGCAUUGCCCAUGAACAGACAUUCUCCAUCACUAGCGGGAGUGAAUGAAGAAAAUGCACCUCUCGUGCAGCAAAUAUGCUUGGUAGCUCCAGAAUCUCCCCACCAGUCUGUCAUGUUGCUUACUAGAUUCACUUCUAUCACCAUAGCAGAGAAAUUCCCAUCCUCUACCACAUGUGCCUGAUGCUUCACAACUUUUCCUUUCCUAUUUCUGCAAUCCUUUGCAAAGUAACCUGGUUUACCACAAACAAAACAGUCACCAACAAUUUUAUUUUUAAAUUGGGGCUUAGACCGAUUGUUCUUUCCUACAAGUUGUUUUCCCUUAUUUCUGCCUUUAAAGUUCUGACCCCUUGUAAAAUUUCCAAUUGGUUUCUUAGUCCCAGAAAUUCCUUCAAUAAGAUUAGCCUUGGUAUCAAAAUCUGGCCUUUCCUUACGUUCUGCCAUUCUAUUGUCCUCCUCAAUUCUAAUCCUGAUAAUUAGAUCCUCUAAGGACAUUUCUUUUCUCUUAUGCUUCAAACUAUUUUUAUACUCUUUCCAAGUAGGUGGCAAUUUUUCAAUUAUAACUGACACUUGAAAGCCCUCACAGAUUUUAUAUCCUUCAGCAAUAAUUUCGUGAAUUAUAAUCUGCAAUUUUUCAACCUGACUAACCACAGUUCUAACAUCAUUCAUUUUAAAAUCUAAAAACUUUCCCACAACAAAUUUCUUGGUUCCAGCAUCUUCUGUAGCAUAUUUCUUUUCUAAUGAAUUCCAUAACUCUUUUGCAGAUUUACACGAGUAGUAAACAUCAUACAGAUCUAAAGUUAAACAAUUCAGAAUAUAAUUCCUGCACAUAUAAUCCUUAUGUUCCCAAUUAGCUAAAUCCUCUGUUUCCUUAUCAGUGGGAUUAUCAGCAAUUACAAAACUGGGUUUAUCUGAUUCAAUAGCAUCAACGACUUUAAGUGUUGUUAAAUAAAAUCGCAGUUUCAUUUGCCAUCUCUUAAAAUUCUUUCCAUCAAACAACUCAGAUUUUUCAGAAUACUUAGGAACAGAUAUCUCUACAGCAGACAUGGCAACUAAUUAUAAAAUAAUUUCACUUUAGAUUGUUAGAAAAAAUUAAUUAGUUGCAGUAGUGAUCUGAACAAUAUAAUGCAGAAAUAUAAAACUUAUCGUCCGAUCGAGUCUCGUGACAGCAUAAUGUCCUAAAGUGAAAUUGCCCGUCAAUAAUUGCUGCGACCUCCGUGGACAAUCACUCCCAGGAUACAACGAUCGUAAACCACUUGUACAGCAAUCACGAAUGAUUUUUCUAGAACUCUCAAUUGUACUCCAGAAGAGAUAUAAAAACCCGAAUAUAAGAAACUCACAAUAUGAUAAGAGUGAUUGAUGUAAGAUGAUUUUUCUAUUUUCUUUUUGUGUGUCUUUUCCCAAAACGAGAUAUGGGUUUAUAUAGGCAAGAUGGUAGUAAUAGUCUUCACCAUGUUAGUGCAGAAUUUUAAUGACUGAGUAGUAGGUGUUUUAAUAGCUGUUAGUGGGUUGUUACAAAAACAAACAGUCAUAAAAUACUGGCUAGUUUUACCCAUUAAAAAAGAAAAAAAUAUUUAUUUUAGUCAAGAAAGCCCAAGAGCCUAAGGCCCCAAUCAAGACAUUUUAAUAACUGCGUGGGAAGUGAUUCGAACCCCUGACGUCCCACACAAAUGUCACAUUUCCCACCACUUUGGCACUUUAUCUAAUUUGAUUAUUUCUUUCACAUUUUAUAUUUAUACCAUAAAUAUAUAACAGAAGCUAGAUAAAAAUAAACAGUGUUGAAAAAUAUGAUGAUUUUUGCCUGCUCAUUUAUGUGGGAAGUUACUCAUGUUUAUGAGAACCAUCAGAUUUGUUAGCCGCGCAAUUUGGAUUGAAUAUGGGAGAUUAAGUCUGAUAUGAGAUUAUGGCCUGAUGGGAAUGUAAUUGAUGUGAUGGAUUCUCCUUUUGGAAGUGGAUUGAGGCAAAUUUCUUGUAGAAGAGAAUUUUCUGUGCUUGCUGCAGAUUGAGAAAUAUGAGGUGAUUGAAAUGACAUGAUCUCCAGACAAAAAUAAUUCUGUGAUAUGAUGAUUUUGUCAACUAUGUGAGGGAACAUGCAUGCCAGUGUGGUUAAUGCACCCCUGAAACCAUCAGAUAAAAAGAAUGGGAGAACAUCCACGUAUGAGUUUGAGGUCAGUGCUGAGAAUAGACCAUGAUGGCCAAUCAUCGAAGCUAUUGACAAAUUUGUUCAUGGCAAAAGAAAAAAUAAAUAAAUAUAAGAAUAAUAAAUUUAAAAAUAAAAGUAAAACCAAUUUGGAGCGGGGUUCUGUAAGAGUUAUGGAUCAAGCUUUCUAUGAGAUUUAUUUUCUGUUGUUCACUUCAGUAUUUGUAGUUUGUAAUCAUUGGCGCAUCAUGCAAGUUAUUCCUUUCUUUAGAUUUGGGAUGUCCUUGUGAUUUUAUUGCAGGUAGCCGUAUUGAGUGGCUUAAGUUAUAAAGCUGGAAACAACUGAACUUUGAUAUGAUAUCUGGCGACUGUCUUGAACGUAAGAUAUAAAGCUCAUGUUUGAGUCCCAUUUUUUCAUAAGCUCAUUAUCAACCAUGCAUUAUCCCAAUAACUUUGCACGUAAAUCCAAAAUGUUUCCCUACCUUUUAACCACAUAUUCUUCAAAAAAAUCACUUUUUUUAAAAUUUAUUUUUGAAAAAUGGGGCUCAAACAGGGACAAAUUUUCAUUGCCCGACUUAAACGUGUUUACAGUUUUUCUUGGUGACAUGGUAUCCUUAUCAGUGUUUGAUAACUAACUAAUGCGUGUUGGUUUUGGUCUUUCAUAUUUUUUUUUUUGGUUAUUAAUUUAUGCUUAUUCUCUUGAACUGCCAGCCAAGGGUAGAAGUUGCUAUGGUGAAUGCCAGGAUUCGAAAAACAGUUCGAGCAACCAGUGCAACGGUUGGUUACAUAGGCCCUGCUGCUGAUUUCAACUAUGAUCAUCAACAUCUUGGCACGGGCCCUCAAACGCUGAUCGAACUUGCCGAGGGACGCCAUCCCUUUUGCUCUACCCUCUCAAAUGCUAAAAAUCCAGUUAUCAUUGUUGGAGCUGGAAUCUUUGAGCGGAAGGACAAGGAUGCAAUUUUCUCAACAGUUGAUGCCAUUUCCAAAAAUGCGAAUGCUGUUAGGCUUGAUUGGAACGGGCUUAAUGUGUUGCUACUUAAUGCUGCCCAAGCUGCGGCUCUGGACCUUGGACUUGUACCAGAAUCUAACGAAAGCAUUGAAUCUGCCAAAUUUCUCUAUUUGAUGGGUGCUGAUGAUGUGAACUUGGAGAAAGUUCCAGAUGAUGCCUUUGUCGUUUACCAAGGUCACCAUGGUGAUCGGGGCGUGUAUCGUGCCAAUGUAAUUCUUCUUUCAUCAGCUUUCUCUGAGAAAGAAGGGACAUUUGCAAA
This 31268-nucleotide long non-coding RNA is filed under the name Olea europaea (common olive). RNAcentral's name for it is "long non-coding RNA (OEUR_LNC007083)". Lineage: Eukaryota; Viridiplantae; Streptophyta; Magnoliopsida; Lamiales; Oleaceae. The record is from RNAcentral.